AGCAGCCGCGGUAAUUCCAGCUCCAAUAGCGUAUAUUAAAGUUGCUGCAGUUAAAAAGCUCGUAGUUGAAUUUCGGGACUGAUAUGUCGGUCGUGCCUCGGUACGUACUGGUAUUUUUGGUUUCUCCCUUCUGACGAACCUUGAUGUCAUUAAUUUGGUGUCUUGGGAAAUCAGGACUGUUACUUUGAAAAAUUAGAGUGUUUAAAGCAGGCUCACGCUUGAAUACAUUAGCAUGGAAUAAUGAAAUAGGACGUUUGAUUUCUAUUUUGUUGGUUUCUAGGAUUGACGUAAUGAUUAAUAGGGAUAGUUGGGGGCAUUAGUAUUCAAUUGUCAGAGGUGAAAUUCUUGGAUUUAUUGAAGACUAACUACUGCGAAAGCAUUUGCCAAGGAUGUUUUCAUUAAUCAAGAACGAAAGUUAGGGGAUCGAAGACGAUCAGAUACCGUCGUAGUCUUAACCAUAAACUAUGCCGACUAGGGAUCGGAUGAUGUUAAUUUUUAAUGUAACUCA
This 508-nucleotide ribosomal RNA is filed under the name uncultured Glomeraceae. RNAcentral's name for it is "SSU rRNA". It matches the Rfam family "Eukaryotic small subunit ribosomal RNA", at positions 569 to 1078 of the family's 1831-position model. The record is from RNAcentral. Lineage: Eukaryota; Fungi; Glomeromycota; Glomeromycetes; Glomerales; Glomeraceae.